UUUGUAGGAGAGAAAAUAUUGCGGUGUCAAGCUCUGUAAAGUGUAAAUGGUGGGAAGAUCAUGGAAUCAGUGAAGGAAGAAGCCAGUGUUGGCUGUUUGAAGGCAGUACUACCGGAUUGACUUGCAUCACGUUCAGUUAAUGUGUAUGCUGCUUUUAAAAGAACAUGGAAUUGCAUGGCUGGAUUCUGCUGGUGGCCGCGAGCAUGGUGGCUGUAUAUUGAGAAUGUUUAAGAGGGAUGUGUCGAGAACAGGAGUGACAUGUGGCUUAAAUGAGAUGAGCAGACCCUGCUGUGUGUUCUGAUGGAUGCUGGAUCAGUGAACUGAAGUGAAAGAGUUUAGGAGAACUCUGGGAGGAAACUGAAGCAGUGGAUGAAGAUGGAUAAAAGGUAAAUGCAUUAAAUUCUGCUAUUCUUUUGUAGUGUAUGAAGAUGCGGUGUCUGACGUCUAUACCUGAGGAGGAAGUUGGGCUCUGUUGUUGCAGAUUCUGAUUCGUUCACACCAAUGGUGUCUGAUCAUUGACAGGUGAAGCUGCUGGACUCCUGGAGCUGAACUGAUCUGAUCUGGGUUCAGUUGAAGGAUUCUGGGCGUGACUGAGGGACAGAUGUGCUGGAGUCCAACAUCACCACACUGCUGAUGCUGAGGAAACAGCAUAUUAAAGAGCAUUAAGCAGUGGGAUGUAUCAUUUUUGAGGUGCUGGACAUGUGUGGUCCUCUACUGAAGAUACUGAGAGUGAAAGCAGGAUUGCUGC
This 748-nucleotide long non-coding RNA is filed under the name Astyanax mexicanus (Mexican tetra). Its description in RNAcentral is "lncRNA (ENSAMXG00005001104.1)". Lineage: Eukaryota; Metazoa; Chordata; Actinopteri; Characiformes; Acestrorhamphidae. The record is from RNAcentral.